This 422-nucleotide long non-coding RNA is filed under the name Prunus persica (peach). RNAcentral's name for it is "long non-coding RNA (PPER_LNC008507)". Lineage: Eukaryota; Viridiplantae; Streptophyta; Magnoliopsida; Rosales; Rosaceae. The record is from RNAcentral.
AAGAAGAUACCAGGUUGCAUAAUCCAUCACCAAACCCCCCAAAAAAGCCAGGUCCACCCCAGAAACCACCGCCACCCCAUGGCCCCCCAGGCCCGGGGCCCCAGCCACCAGGUCCUCCAGGUCCCGGGCCUCCCCAGCCACCAGGUCCUCCAGGUCCAGGGCCUCCCCAGCCACCAGGUCCUCCAGGCCCAGGGCCUCCCCAGCCACCUCCUCCUGGCCCUCCACCUCCACCGCCAGGUCCGCCAGGUCCGCCAGGUCCGCCAGGUCCCAUAACUAACCCUUUAUCUCAGAGUGCCAACUGCCCAGCAAAAGAGAAGAGAACCUUCAAGUCUGGAGGUGUAGCUGAAUCUGAUGAUCCUAGUAAAAACAGAAAACCAAAGCCGAACUAAACAAGUUUAGUUGAAUGUAUAUAAACAAAAAAU